This is a long non-coding RNA of Columba livia (rock pigeon), 432 nucleotides long. RefSeq lists it as uncharacterized. The record is from RefSeq and is a predicted model, not a curated record. Lineage: Eukaryota; Metazoa; Chordata; Aves; Columbiformes; Columbidae. The transcript has 3 exons.
CGGGUCUCUCGGAGCACAAGCAAGAUGCUGUCACCGAGAGUCCCCCUCCCCGGGAUGGAGACUGCGCUUGCCUUGCCGCCACGGAUGAGCAAAGAUUCCUUCUGCUGAGAAGACAGGAGAUGAUACAAAGCCAACUACAGUCUCCACAAUUCAAGCUCUUUUCCAACAUCUUCCAACACCAACACCUUGGCAGCUGCUGCGGCAAAGUCUGUCUUUAAGCACAGUAUCAGUUACUACAUCUACUGCUCUCUGCAGUUACAUCUUUCUUCACUUUUGCCAUGAGUUCAUCACAGGGAUAUUGACUGCUCAGCUGCUUGGCUAAUGCAUACACAUGAGUUCCUGGGCUUGCAGUGUGGCUGUGCCAGAAAGGGUGAGAGAGCACUAGAACAGGCUGCCCAGAGAGGUUGUGGAGUCUUCUUCUUUGGAGACAUU